RNAcentral lists this ribosomal RNA (301 nucleotides) under uncultured bacterium. RNAcentral's name for it is "partial 16S ribosomal RNA". It matches the Rfam family "Bacterial small subunit ribosomal RNA", at positions 509 to 809 of the family's 1533-position model. The record is from RNAcentral.
CAGCCGCCGCGGUAAUACGAAGGGUGCAAGCGUUAAUCGGAAUUACUGGGCGUAAAGCGUGCGUAGGCGGUGAGUUAAGUCUGCUGUGAAAUCCCCGGGCUCAACCUGGGAAUGGCAGUGGAUACUGGCUCGCUAGAGUGUGUCAGAGGAUGGUGGAAUUCCCGGUGUAGCGGUGAAAUGCGUAGAGAUCGGGAGGAACAUCAGUGGCGAAGGCGGCCAUCUGGGACAACACUGACGCUGAGGCACGAAAGCGUGGGGAGCAAACAGGAUUAGAUACCCCCGUAGUCCCUGUCUCUUAUAA